GCAGACACAUUCCAGCCAAUCAGCAGCAGACCCUCCCUCCCAGACCCUCCCACCUCCUGGACAGCAUCCAUUUUGAAGCUGCAUUCUUAGUGAGCUGUCCAGGAGUUGGUAGGGUCUGGGAGGGAGGGUCUGCUGCUGAUUGGCUGGAAUGUGUCUG
Molecule: non-coding RNA, 157 nt
Organism: Pelobates cultripes (western spadefoot toad)
Lineage: Eukaryota; Metazoa; Chordata; Amphibia; Anura; Pelobatidae
Source: the annotation of a GenBank genome assembly